Molecule: long non-coding RNA, 545 nt
Organism: Haliotis rufescens (red abalone)
Lineage: Eukaryota; Metazoa; Mollusca; Gastropoda; Lepetellida; Haliotidae
Exons: 2
Source: RefSeq, a predicted model, not a curated record
CUCACAGGUUAGUUUAAUCUCUUACAUUGGUUUAUAAGUGUGUACACUUUAUAUGUUAUAUUUGUAUUGUGUGGAUAUAAAUAAAACAAGUAAAUUCAACCUUAAUAAUGGUAAAUCUAACCUAAAUGUAAAUAACACUUCAGUCAGGUUCUAGUGCAUUUCAGAGUAUAGAAUCAAUACAAAUAACUAUCAAAUAACUCAUAUAAUUCAUUCAGGUAAUUAUAUUUUCCCUAUGAGUGAAUUGUUGCAUGUUUGAGUGUUUGAUUGACUGAUUUCAUAUAUGAGAGGAAGAAUAGUGUAUAUGUGAAUGUAAGUACGAAUGUGAUUUUAGCCUAAGUUGUUUUGAUGUGUUCCAGGUGUUGAUAAUGAUAAUAGCUAUGUUGAUUUAUAGUUACUGUAGAAUUAAUGUUGCAUAUUGUUUACACGGAUUUUAGGUACGCUUGGUAUAUCUGGCUUGGCGGAGCUUGGUGAACGUCCUGUGCACCCUAGUGCCAUACACCGGGGUGUGUUUAAUUGACCGGGAAUAAAACGUUCUCACCCCGUAA